CUGCGUGUGUGUGUGUGUGUGUGUGUGUGUGUGUGUGUGUGUGUGUGCACGCGCGCGCGCGCGCGCGCGCCCCCCC
This 76-nucleotide microRNA precursor is filed under the name Tupaia belangeri (northern tree shrew). RNAcentral describes it as "miRNA (ENSTBEG00000019797.1)". Lineage: Eukaryota; Metazoa; Chordata; Mammalia; Scandentia; Tupaiidae. The record is from RNAcentral.